GACGGACCCCAUGUCUUCCGCGACCGGGAACCCUUGCCCGCCUUCCGCCUCGCCCGCCAGGCUGUGGCACUAGCUUGUGCUCCCUCGUCGGCCUCCGCACCCGGGUCCCUCUUCACUCGUGUCAGGGCGCAGUUCAUGGCUUCUCAUCCGUGUGCUGCUCCGGGCGGCUCGGCCAACAGGCUGGGUUGUGCGCGACUCCCUGCUCCUCCAUGGCCUGAGGCCGUGGUUCAACAAGAACUGGGCGUUGAUGGUCUGCGAAGGGGUGGCUUUUCUGCCUAUUUCACCUGACGCCCCACAAGGUUCCCCUGUUCUGGGAAGCCGGUCCGUCAGUUAAACGCGCAGGUCCUGCUGCGCCGAGGCCGAAUGCGGCCUUUGAGGACCGAUCAAUCCCGGGCUGACUCUAGCCUCUACUGUCAGAAGCUGCAGCUACGGGACCAGAAAAUUGGGGGGAGCUGAAACCUUUCCCUCGUGUAAAACAAGGAGACUUGAAUUAUAUUCCCAAAGAUUCCUCUUAUCCCCCGCAUCUUGCUCGUCAAUAGUUGCUUUAAACUUUAGGGAAAAGCUUCUGGUGCAUCGGAAAAACUCUGGCAGCAGGCCUGGGUUCUAGCCAUGGUUCCACCACUGACUAGAAAUCUCUUCUUUAGGCUGAAUUUACGAUUGUUUCAGAUUAAAGGAUUGAAUUAGAAAUUGAAUUAGAAAAUCUUUUAGGGCCUUUAUAUUUCUCUUGAGAUCGUUUCUCCCAAGUAUAAAAUCAAAGCGUUUAUAUGAUAACUCAGGUUCCUUCAAAGCUCCUGACUUUGUUUUGAGUACUUAGGCUGUCGCAAAGACUUAUAAGCGACAUUGUAUACUUAAGGCUGUAUUGUGCUUUGGGGACAGUUUAGUAUUAUUGCUAUUAUCUGGAGAAUCUGAGGAUGAGGAAUGAAUUGAGGAAGAUUUGGAAGUGGGAAUUGAACAAGGGAAUGGCAUGGGGGAAUGGGAUGGGGAUUAUUGGACAGCUCACAGGGGUAAGAGGCUUUAUGGUAAAAGGAGAAGAGUUGAGAGAAAUCUGAUGGAAGUGUUUUCAGAUAGGGUUUAGUUCUUGUAAAAAGCCUUUGUAUAUUCCAAGAACAGCUGAGAUUUAUCUCAAAUUGAGCAUAAUUUUCUCGUCUUGAUACUGUGUUCCCUCUUUCUCUUUUUUAUGACCAUUGUUUCACACAUAUAGAUCUUUAAGUCAUAUUUGAUUUAAAGUGUCACAUUUGAAAAAUGGACAGGAAUUUUAACCCCAGUUGUUAUUUUCAGGGCAGCACUAAAGAUUAAGUCAGAAUUUUUCAGUUUAGAUAAACUAUGUAGAAAUCACUUUUCUAUUGGAAACUGUGGACUUAAAAUCAAGCUGUAGGGCUGGGGAUGUAGUUCAGUGGUUGAGAGCUUGCCUAGCUGCUUAAGGCUCUGGGUUCAAUCCCCAGCCCUGCAAAAAGCAAGCAAGCAAGUUAAUUGUAGAUUUUAUUUAAAUCUGACUGAGGUGAAUGCUUAUGUCAUCAAGAAGGAACAUCUUAGCUAAAACACUUUGGAAGGAAAUAAGAGCAAAAUGUUUGGAAUGACCAGCAGGUAGACUGUUAGAAUAGAAGCAUUGGCUUUAAAGAUUGUGUAAGUAAAUUCUGAAAGCUUAAAUAAACUUAAGUUGUGUAGUUUUUAAAAAUCCAGUGAAUAAAUACUACUCCCUUUUUUGACAGCAGGAGCUGUCAAAAUUUAUAUUUGAUAUGCUAUUUUAAUUUUUCAGAUAAGUUUUUCUCUAUUUUAGGUUCUUGUAUGGAAGCAUCCUUUUUAGUAAUAGGAUUGAUAAAGUCUAUCUUUGAGUUCUUGAGUGAUAAACUGACAAAUUUAAAUGUGUGCUUUUUCUUUUAAUGAAAAUGCCUCUGAAAGUUUUCAUACUGCACUGAGAAGUAAAGUAGAUAUGCAUGAGGUAAAUUUAGGUGUUAGAGCCAAUGCACAUAUAACAAUCUUCAUUUGAAAUCAUUUUGAAAAUUUUAUUUUCAAAUCUUAGUGCUUGAUUGAGAGUCAGAAAAGUGUGAAUCAUCAGUUCUAGCUGUAUUCUUAACCAACUGCCUGACUUUGGGUGGGCUUCCUUAUUUCUUAUCACUUUGGAUCUCAGUUUUCGCAUGUAAAUUGAGGGGGUUGUGUGAAAUAAUCCAAAAGGUCCCCUCCAGAUUUACAAGUUUGUGACUAUCGUAAGGGCCUUAUUUUGUCUAGUUGAGUAGAUUUGGGAAUCAUGUCCAAUGAUCAAAAAAACGGAGAAAGCUUUCUGAGUUCAGGGAUCUAUCUGUAUCUAUAUUCUCUCUCUCUCUCUCUCUCUCUCUAUAUAUAUAUAUAUAUGUAUAUGUAUAUAUACACACACAUAUAUGUUUUUAUAUAUGCACACAUAGAUACAUUUUAUCUCAUGUUCAUCUCUGAGUAUGCUUUUAAAAAAUAAAUGCAUUCAAAUGUAAUUAAAAUAGUAACAUAAACCAAACAGCCUGAGGCAAACCUUAACCCUGGCAUACAUAAGCUACAUAAAUAGAAGAGAGCAUGUUAUGCCUGAGCACAAUUUUCAAGUACAGAAGGUACAAAAUCCUCUUAAAGGCCAUAGGGGCUAAAUUGUUAAAUUCAUUUUUCUACAUUUCAGGAAAGGAGAUAAAUCCUUAGACCCAAGGAAGUCAGUUUUUAUUAUGGUUCUGUAGUUUAUUUUUGGCAUACAUUCACAGGUGUGCCUAUGGCUCUAUUCUUAAUCCCUUUCCUUUGGGAUGGCUCCAAGAGUAGUACAAAUUUGUAACUCUGUAAUUUAGCUCUUUAAUUUUUUCUGUGCUGCACUGGAAUUAUGUUUUAUCUUAAGUCCACAUUGGAUCCUCAGGAUGGAUCCAGUGAGGAUUUUGAAGGAAGCAUAAUUCCUUUGCCUUCUUUUAGAAUUAAUUUACCUAUUAAGUAAAAAGGAAAGGAUUCAUCUUUUAUUUGAAUUCCUCUGAGGCUAACAUUUCAAUAUAAACUGAUAAAUGCUAUGGGCAUUAUUAUUCAGACAGUCACAUUCAACUUUUAUGACCAUAACAGCAUAGCAACCUGAAAGUGCAAUAGGGGAACAGAUAUAUUGUAACUUUUAGAAGAAAAAAGAUAGUAAAAGUUGGUUUCUUUAUUUCUGGAAAACAAAAGAGUUUUUGGGUCAGCUGCUUUUAUGACCAAAAUCACCAUCACAGUAUCACAGUAUCCUGGCGUUUUGGGCAGAGAUGGGAAACUAAAAACAUAAUUAUUCUCUCAAUUAUAUCUGUAUAUCUGAAAGUGGAAAAAAUAAUAAAUUGGCAUCAUUACUAGGGCAUCCCUGGUGUGCUGUAGGCCAGACCACCCAAACCCUCACCCCUGUAAUAGAAAUUUAACCCAGGGGGACUCUAACAUUGAGGUACAUCCCCAGACCUUUUUCUAUAUUUUAUUUUGAGACAUGGUCUUCCCAUGUUGCCCAGGUGGCCUCAAACUCAAGAUUCUCCUGCCUUAG
Molecule: long non-coding RNA, 3493 nt
Filed under: Marmota monax (woodchuck)
Lineage: Eukaryota; Metazoa; Chordata; Mammalia; Rodentia; Sciuridae
Source: RNAcentral